GUGUGUGUGUGUACACUCCUUUUCAGUGACUGGAUGAAUCUCAGGUCCCCGUCUCAGGUGAAACCGAAAGGCCACUUGGGAGAUGGCAGAGGUAGCCUAAGUCUGAUGAUCUCCAUGUGCUUCCCAUUUAUAUCCUGGGAGCAGGACUCUGCCUGACUCAGCUCUUCUGUGUUAGGGACCGCGGUGGAGAACGGAUCCUUCUUUGGACUUUCGUUUUUCUUGCUCAUGUUAAUGGAACCCUGGAGUGAAACAGGCCCCAUAAGGCAUUGCUGCUUUCCUGUUUAACACUGGAUUCUGGUUUAAGUCUCUGGAACUAGACCCCAGGUCACCUUGUUAGCAGGCAGAGGUUUAUAGGACUCUUUAGUCUUUAUUUACUGGUUAUCUCUUGCAUUGUUUUCUCAGGUGACAAACAUAAUCAGCGUGGACUUCACUAAUUGAACUCUUAGAGGAUAACAUUAUGUCCAGGUUUGGGAAAUUUUUGGAGUACCUCAUGACAUCCGUUUGUCAGAGUAUCUCGAUAAGACAUUACCUGGCAGGUGUCUGUUGAAGAAGGAACGAGAAAUACGCAGAAUUAACUUUUAACUUUUCCAUCAUCACAGGUAAUUUGGACAAUUUUUACACAAUGGGAUGAGAAUGAUGCAGAUUAGAUCACCUCUGUGGAAAAUGUGACCGGACGCUAAAAAAAGGAAGUUCUAAAUCCAUAUACAAACUUCUUACUGCCCUCAGGGCCGUUCCCCCAGAAGUCUGCUCAUGUCGAGGUGGCAGAUGUGGUUCAUUCUGGGAAACGACUGCAUAGUGUUCCAUUACAAUAGGUUACACCUCAGCCAUUCAGCAGUCUCUUCACGGAACCAUGAAAACCAGUUGCUGCAAGAACAUCUCCUUCCUGUCUCCUCAUGAACCUGUCCUGGAAGGCCAACGGUCACCAGGAAAGGGAUCAGGAGACCCACCUGCUCAGAGAGUUCGAAAGUGUGCCCAUGUUCCUGUGUCCUCACUGAUGAAAGUGACAGCUAGAGAAACAGUUGCCAAUUGUCAAAGACAGCCAUGGGGCUUAGGAGGCCUGACUGCAGACUGGCGAUCAACACUGCACAUCCUGUGAAUAAACACCUUUUUCAUAGGCUUAAAAAAA
This is a long non-coding RNA of Miniopterus natalensis, 1126 nucleotides long. RefSeq lists it as uncharacterized. NCBI's taxonomy places the organism in Eukaryota, Metazoa, Chordata, Mammalia, Chiroptera, Miniopteridae. The record is from RefSeq and is a predicted model, not a curated record.